This 463-nucleotide ribosomal RNA is filed under the name uncultured bacterium. RNAcentral describes it as "partial 16S ribosomal RNA". It matches the Rfam family "Bacterial small subunit ribosomal RNA", at positions 28 to 507 of the family's 1533-position model. The record is from RNAcentral.
GAUGAACGCUGACAGAAUGCUUAACACAUGCAAGUCUUUGGCGAAUCUGUGCUUGCGCAGGCUAGCCAAGGCGGACGGGUGAGUAACGCGUAAAGAACUUGCCCUGCAGACAGGGAUAACAGACGGAAACGACUGAUAACACCUGAUACAGUUGCCGGCACGCAUGUGCCUGGCAAUGAAAAGAGAUGCUGCAGGAGAGCUUUGCGUCCUAUUAGCUUGUUGGUGAGGUGACGGCUCACCAAGGCGAUGAUAGGUAGCCGGCCUGAGAGGGUGAACGGCCACAAGGGGACUGAGAUACGGCCCUUACUCCUACGGGAGGCAGCAGUGGGGAAUAUUGGACAAUGGGGGCAACCCUGAUCCAGCAAUUCUGUGUGCACGAAGAAGGUUUUCGGAUUGUAAAGUGCUUUCAGCAGGGAAGAAGAAAGUGACGGUACCUGCAGAAGAAGCGACGGCUAAAUACGUG